Molecule: RNA transcript, 2073 nt
Organism: Phoenix dactylifera (date palm)
Lineage: Eukaryota; Viridiplantae; Streptophyta; Magnoliopsida; Arecales; Arecaceae
Gene name: aspartic proteinase PCS1 pseudogene
Source: RefSeq, a predicted model, not a curated record
GAGAAGAAAAUUUUUUUCGUUCCCAAUCGCUUAAGCUUGCUGGGAGAUUUGGGGAUUCAUUUAGAAGAGAACCUCACAUGCACUGCAGAUGAGAAAUAUCUUUUCUGGAAUCAGUCCGGUUGAAUCGCGGUCAACUUGCCGUUGAACCGGUGAACCGUGACCCUGCCACCGAAACGGGUUAAGCCGGCUCGACGGCUACAGAGUCAGGUAUACAGAGACUCUCUCCAAUAAAACGGAGCCCCCCCCUCUCUCUCUCUCACCGCAAAUCCAAAAGAGACAGGAUGGAGACCCCCUGGAGUCCACACGUACACAGUAAUAUUUCCCACCUCUCGCGGCCUCCCCUUUCUCACCCUAUACCAACCCUACUCCCUCCAAUCCUUUCUAGCACCAAAUCACAUCUCGUCACCCUCCCUUAUCUUAAUAAACUCUUCCUGCUAACUAGCUUCUACUUAACUCUGCUCCAAGUUUCUCCCUCCUUCCUCCGAAUCUUUUUUCCUUUCCAUUCCUUAUCAUCCCUCGUUCCCAAUGAUACCAAAACUAGUACUUGCUUCUGCUUCUCCUUCUACUUUUCUCCUAUUCAUUUUUCUUGCUCUCUGCCAACCCUUAAUCUCCCUCUCCUCGACGACAGUAACGGCUACCAGCAAUGCCUCUGCCGGUGCUAGUACGGGAGGAAAGCCAAAACCCUUUAUUUUACCUCUGAGAACCCAAAAGGUCUCAUCUUUGGCCCUCCCCGGGCCUCGCAACAAGCUCCUAUUCCACCACAACGUGAGCCUCACCGUCUCCCUCUCCGUUGGAACGCCGCCCCAGAACGUCUCCAUGGUGCUCGACACCGGCAGCGAGCUCUGCUGGCUCCUCUGCAACGCCACCGCUGGCGGCCCCUCCUUCCACCCCCGCGCCUCCUCCUCCUACGCUCCUGUCCGGUGCUCCUCCGCCACCUGCCGCGACGGCACCCGCGACCUUCCGAUCCCGGCCUCCUGCGACCACGCCACCUCCCUCUGCCACGUGUCCCUCUCCUACGCCGACGCCUCCACCUCCGAGGGCACCCUCGCCGCCGACUCCUUCCGCCUUGGCCAGUCCACUCGUCUGUCCACCAUCUUCGGCUGCAUGGCCUCCGCCUAUUCCUCGACCUCCGGGGGCGACGGCUCCACCACCGCCGGUCUGCUGGGCAUGAACAGGGGAUCCCUCUCCUUCGUCACCCAGACCGCCAUCCAGCGGUUCUCUUACUGCAUCGCCGGUGGAGCCGCCACGGGGGUCCUCCUCCUCGGCGACGCCCCGCCUCCCUUUCUCAUGCCCCUCCACUACACCCCGCUCGUCCAGAUCUCACUGCCGCUCCCCUACUUCGACCGCGUGGCCUACACCGUCCAGCUGGACGGCAUCCGCGUGGCAGCCGUCCUCCUCCCCAUCCCCAAAUCCGUGCUCGUCCCCGACCACACCGGCGCCGGCCAGACCAUGGUGGAUUCCGGCACCCAGUUCACCUUCCUCCUGGGCGCCGCCUACGACGCCUUGAAAGCCGAAUUCUUGAGGCAGACGAAGGGCGUCCUGACCGUCCUGAACGAGCCGGACUUCGUGUUCCAGGGGGCGUUCGACCUGUGCUUCCGGAUCCCGGCGGGGGCUGCGCCGCCGUCGUGGCGGCUGCCGGCGGUGACGCUGAUGUUCCGCGGGGGUGCGGAGGUGAGGGUGGCGGGCGAGCGGCUGCUGUACCGGGCGGCCGGAGAGGCGCGGGGGCGGGACGCGGUGUGGUGCUUUACCUUCGGGAACUCGGAUCUGGUGCCCCUGUCGGCGUACGUGAUUGGGCACCACCACCAGCAGGAUGUGUGGGUGGACUACGACCUCCGCAACUCCAGGGUGGGCUUCGCGCCCGUUCACUGCGCCCAGGCCGCCCAGCGCCUCUGAUGGGUUGGGCCGCCCUAUCGGCCCAUCCUUUUUGAUCUCGAAUACAGAAUACUGUUUUGUAAAGUUUUACGGACUAUUGUUCAUCCUAUUGUCGGAGCUGUUAAUUACCGGGGAGCUUAGACGCCUCCGCGUGGACAGGGAACGCGUCGGCUUUCCCUUCUCUCCUCGCCCUCGUGUCCU